GAUGAACGCUAGCUACAGGCUUAACACAUGCAAGUCGAGGGGAAACGACAUCGAAAGCUUGCUUUUGAUGGGCGUCGACCGGCGCACGGGUGAGUAACGCGUAUCCAACCUGCCCACCACUUGGGGAUAACCUUGCGAAAGUAAGACUAAUACCCAAUGAUAUCUCUAGAAGACAUCUGAAAGAGAUUAAAGAUUUAUCGGUGAUGGAUGGGGAUGCGUCUGAUUAGCUUGUUGGCGGGGUAACGGCCCACCAAGGCGACGAUCAGUAGGGGUUCUGAGAGGAAGGUCCCCGACAGUGGAACUGAGACACGGUCCAAACUGCUACGGGAGGCAGCAGUGAGGAAUAUUGGUCAAUGGGCGAGAGCCUGAACCAGCCAAGUAGCGUGCAGGAUGACGGCCCUAUGGGUUGUAAACUGCUUUUAUAAGGGAAUAAAGUGAGCCUCGUGAGGCUUUUUGCAUGUACCUUAUGAAUAAGGACCGGCUAAUUCCGUGCCAGCCGCCGCGGUAA
Molecule: ribosomal RNA, 508 nt
Filed under: uncultured bacterium
Lineage: Bacteria
Description: partial 16S ribosomal RNA
Rfam family: Bacterial small subunit ribosomal RNA
Source: RNAcentral